RNAcentral lists this ribosomal RNA (3267 nucleotides) under Drosophila melanogaster (fruit fly). RNAcentral describes it as "eukaryotic LSU rRNA". The stretch from base 576 to 3267 matches the Rfam family "Eukaryotic large subunit ribosomal RNA", at positions 1 to 2314 of the family's 3401-position model. The record is from RNAcentral. Lineage: Eukaryota; Metazoa; Arthropoda; Insecta; Diptera; Drosophilidae.
ACUCUAAGCGGUGGAUCACUCGGCUCAUGGGUCGAUGAAGAACGCAGCAAACUGUGCGUCAUCGUGUGAACUGCAGGACACAUGAACAUCGACAUUUUGAACGCAUAUCGCAGUCCAUGCUGUUAUGUACUUUAAUUAAUUUAUAUAGUGCUGCUUGGACUACAUAUGGUUGAGGGUUGUAAGACUAUGCUAAUUAAGUUGCUUAUAAAUUUUUAUAAGCAUAUGGUAUAUUAUUGGAUAAAUAUAAUAAUUUUUAUUCAUAAUAUUAAAAAAUAAAUGAAAAACAUUAUCUCACAUUUGAAUGUGAAAAACGAAGAGAAAUAUUUUCUUUUUCAAUCAAAUAAUACUGAGAAAUGGUCUAGCAUAAAAAAUUGAAAUAUUUUUCAUCUAGAAUUGUCUCUUAUUAAUGAUUCGGAAAUAGAAAAAAUCUUGGUUAUGUUAUUAUUCUUCGUUGGUUCGUUAAAAAUGGAUAAAUAAAAACUUUGCAUACAAGAAUUAAUAAAAAUGUUAUAACGAAUUUAAUUAAAUGUUUUAUCAUUAUAUAUAAAGAAUUUAUGGCAAGAUAAAGUUAUAUACAACCUCAACUCAUAUGGGACUACCCCCUGAAUUUAAGCAUAUUAAUUAGGGGAGGAAAAGAAACUAACAAGGAUUUUCUUAGUAGCGGCGAGCGAAAAGAAAACAGUUCAGCACUAAGUCACUUUGUCUAUAUGGCAAAUGUGAGAUGCAGUGUAUGGAGCGUCAAUAUUCUAGUAUGGAGAAAUUAACGAUUUAAGUCCUUCUUAAAUGAGGCCAUUUACCCAUAGAGGGUGCCAGCCCGUAUAACGUUAAUGAUUACUAGAUGAUGUUUCCAAAGAGUCGUGUUGCUUGAUAGUGCAGCACUAAGUGGGUGGUAACUCCAUCUAAAACUAAAUAUAACCAUGAGACCGAUAGUAAACAAGUACCGUGAGGGAAAGUUGAAAAGAACUCUGAAUAGAGAGUUAAACAGUACGUGAAACUGCUUAAGAGGUUAAGCCCGAUGAACCUGAAUAUCCGUUAUGGAAAAUUCAUCAUUUAAAAUUGUAAUAUUUAAAUAAUAUUAUGAGAAUAGUGUGCAUUUUUUCCAUAUAAGGACAUUGUAAUCUAUUAGCAUAUACCAAAUUUAUCAUAAAAUAUAACUUAUAGUUUAUUCCAAUUAAAUUGCUUGCAUUUUAACACAGAAUAAAUGUUAUUAAUUUGAUAAAGUGCUGAUAGAUUUAUAUGAUUACAGUGCGUUAAUUUUUCGGAAUUAUAUAAUGGCAUAAUUAUCAUUGAUUUUUGUGUUUAUUAUAUGCACUUGUAUGAUUAACAAUGCGAAAGAUUCAGGAUACCUUCGCGGACCCGUCUUGAAACACGGACCAAGGAGUCUAACAUAUGUGCAAGUUAUUGGGAUAUAAACCUAAUAGCGUAAUUAACUUGACUAAUAAUGGGAUUAGUUUUUUAGCUAUUUAUAGCUAAUUAACACAAUCCCGGGGCGUUCUAUAUAGUUAUGUAUAAUGUAUAUUUAUAUUAUUUAUGCCUCUAACUGGAACGUACCUUGAGCAUAUAUGCUGUGACCCGAAAGAUGGUGAACUAUACUUGAUCAGGUUGAAAGUCAGGGGAAACCCUGAUGGAAGACCGAAACAGUUCUGACGUGCAAAUCGAUUGUCAGAAUUGAGUAUAGGGGCGAAAGACCAAUCGAACCAUCUAGUAGCUGGUUCCUUCCGAAGUUUCCCUCAGGAUAGCUGGUGCAUUUUAAUAUUAUAUAAAAUAAUCUUAUCUGGUAAAGCGAAUGAUUAGAGGCCUUAGGGUCGAAACGAUCUUAACCUAUUCUCAAACUUUAAAUGGGUAAGAACCUUAACUUUUCUGAUAUGAAGUUCAAGGUUAUGAUAUAAUGUGCCCAGUGGGCCACUUUUGGUAAGCAGAACUGGCGCUGUGGGAUGAACCAAACGUAAUGUUACGGUGCCCAAAUUAACAACUCAUGCAGAUACCAUGAAAAGGCUUGGUUGCUUAAAACCAGCAGGACGGUGAUCAUGGAAGUCGAAAUCCCGCUAAGGAGUGUGUAACAACUCACCUGCCGAAGCAACUAGCCCUUAAAAUGGAUGGCGCUUAAGUUGUAUACCUAUACAUUACCGCUAAAGUAGAUGAUUUAUAUUACUUGUGAUAUAAAUUUUGAAACUUUAAGUGAGUAGGAAGGUACAAUGGUAUGCGUAGAAGUGUUUGGCGUAAAGCCUGCAUGGAGCUGCCAUUUGUACAGAUCUUGGUGGUAGUAGCCAAAUAAUCGAAUGAGACCUUGGAGGACUGAAGUGGGAGAAGGGUUUCGUGUGAACAGUGGUUGAUCACGAGUUAAGUCCGGUCCUAAGUUCAAGGCGAAAGCCGAAAAUUUUCAAGGUAAAAACAAAAAUGCCUAACUAUAUAAACAAAGCGAAUUAUAAUACACUUGAAUAAUUUUGAACGAAAGGGAAUACGGUUCCAAUUCCGUAACCUGUUGAGUAUCCGUUUGUUAUUAAAUAUGGGCCUCGUGCUCAUCCUGGCAACAGGAACGACCAUAAAGAAGCCGUCGAGAGAUAUCGGAAGAGUUUUCUUUUCUGUUUUAUAGCCGUACUACCAUGGAAGUCUUUCGCAGAGAGAUAUGGUAGAUGGGCUAGAAGAGCAUGACAUAUACUGUUGUGUCGAUAUUUUCUCCUCGGACCUUGAAAAUUUAUGGUGGGGACACGCAAACUUCUCAACAGGCCGUACCAAUAUCCGCAGCUGGUCUCCAAGGUGAAGAGUCUCUAGUCGAUAGAAUAAUGUAGGUAAGGGAAGUCGGCAAAUUAGAUCCGUAACUUCGGGAUAAGGAUUGGCUCUGAAGAUUGAGAUAGUCGGGCUUGAUUGGGAAACAAUAACAUGGUUUAUGUGCUCGUUCUGGGUAAAUAGAGUUUCUAGCAUUUAUGUUAGUUACUUGUUCCCCGGAUAGUUUAGUUACGUAGCCAAUUGUGGAACUUUCUUGCUAAAAUUUUUAAGAAUACUAUUUGGGUUAAACCAAUUAGUUCUUAUUAAUUAUAACGAUUAUCAAUUAACAAUCAAUUCAGAACUGGCACGGACUUGGGGAAUCCGACUGUCUAAUUAAAACAAAGCAUUGUGAUGGCCCUAGCGGGUGUUGACACAAUGUGAUUUCUGCCCAGUGCUCUGAAUGUCAAAGUGAAGAAAUUCAAGUAAGCGCGGGUCAACGGCGGGAGUAACUAUGACUCUCUUAAGGUAGCCAAAUGCCUCGUCAUCUAAUUAGUGACGCGC